AGGAAAGAUCAUUUGCAGGCCAUCUGGUGGUGGACGAUUAGAAUGAGGUGAGAAUGGAAGCACCGAGACCAGUUCACAGGAGUUGCAACUGUCCAGACCAAAGAUGAUAAGUCUCCUUGCAGUUGGAGGAAACCAUGUGACUAGUUUCACCAACAUGCUGUACAUGGAUGUCACACAUGUCAAUUCUGGGCUGAAGUAUGAAAAAGCAAGUUCUCCCUUAGCUUUCCUGCCAUGCCACAGUGACUAAGGAGGCCACGUGUUCCAAGUGUGCAGCUCCACAUGGGUGGCCCCUCCAUCAGUCUGGGUCCAUGAAUGUUUACGUGGAGCACAGAUGAGAGCACUGAGCAUCAACGAUGACAGUUAACUUGCCAAAUGAAGGUAACAUAGCAAGGAAGUGGCAGAGCCGGGAUUCCACAAAG
Molecule: long non-coding RNA, 419 nt
Organism: Rhinolophus ferrumequinum (greater horseshoe bat)
Lineage: Eukaryota; Metazoa; Chordata; Mammalia; Chiroptera; Rhinolophidae
Exons: 3
Source: RefSeq, a predicted model, not a curated record